CUGCCCUGAAAAUGAAAAACAGACAGAUAUCACUGGCAGAAAACAGUGGACUUGCCACAGACUGAGAAUUGAGACGUUUAAGUAAUUUAGCAGACAGUAAAGGAGGUGUUUCUGUGUUCCCAGGGUCUUGUGUUCACCAGUUUAUUGUUCUGUUAACACAUUAUUCCUUGUCUAUAUUCGCUUCACAGUUGACCCGUAUCAAGCUAAAAAAAUUCAUAAAAUAUAAUGCUAACCACCGAGCCACUGUGCAGCCCUAACAUUAACCCUUUGAUGCGCAAUGUGGCUCAGGAGAUACCCAUUUUCCAUUGGAUUUGGGUCUCUUUUAACCCAUUUUGUGCAUCAAAGGGUUAGCCUGACUAGAAUAUUUAUCCCAAAUUAAAGUGGACUCUUUUAACUGUAUUUGAGACAUUGUCAAGAAAUGGACAUAGAUUUGUGCUGACGCCAGUCAAAUGAAAAUUUCUGUGGUUGGCCGCAGCAUCAGGCUUAGGACAGGUAAUGGGCAGGUGGACAGUACGGGUCAUAAACCACAAACUAAACGUCAAUAUCUGCGACAAGUCACACAUCUCUGACACAUAGAGUCCAAAGGGAGGUUGAUUCUGACUUGUGGAAUGCUGUCCCACAAGUCCCUUCACCAAGCAGUCUCAUCCUGGAUUGUUUGGUGAAGUUGACGGACAUUUUGGGGAACAUGAUCGUGUUGUUGGACACAUCCAUCCAGAGCGUCAUGUGGCAGAUCGUCUGUCAAACCACGCUGUCUGAACAAAGCUGCAUUUUAAGGUAGUCUUUUACAGUCACUGGUCAAAGGAGUGUGUGAGUGGUGAUCACACCGUCCGAUCAUUGUCCUCUAAAGCCACACCUGAACAAGAUAUGGAACUCAGUAGCUGAGAAUUUGUCACCACAUGAUCAGACUAAAUUUGACAUAACAAAUGAGAGAAGAAGACCGUUUGAAUGCUGCCUUUAUGUUUGUGUUCACGUCUGACAAAUACAGCACAUGAAACACAAUAGACAACAUUUUUGCGAACAUACAGCAUUUCUAAUUAAGAAACACAGUGAAAAAGGGACAAUCUAGUUUAAUGAGAUGAUUUUGAUUUAGAGUCCAUUUUUUCUCUUUUCUGCCUUGGCCUCUCCCAUUGGAAUGCAUCGGAGACAAGUCCCCAAAAACAACACAUUCACAGACCGCAGUGUAAGAGGAAUAUUUUGGUUGAGCAAUCAUUCGAGCUGCUGCUAACAUUAUUUUGUCAAGCCACUGACUUGUCACAUCUGCCAUCGUUGUGAUUGAUGUGACAAUUUUAUCUGACAGUAACAUCUGGAAGAAGGAGCAUGAGAAGAUCAAGCAGUAUCAAGGGAACAGCUGGAACAGAUGUGGAAGCUUUACUUUUGAGCAACUAUGCGACUACUCAGCUUGACAAGGUGACCUGCCAUCACUUUCACCUCGUCCAAACCGAAGUGAAAUCAUGCGAGAGAGACUGUCGUAUUCCAGCAACAAACUACACCCCUGGAGCAGCUGCUCUGAGUGGACCAUGGAGCUGCAGUGGACAGAUAAGGAAUGACAGCUCUGGGGAAAAAUGACCUUUGAGACAAAACCAGGCAAAAUGAUAUAGGAGGAGGAGACGGAGCAGCUCCUACCGAACUCUCCUCCACAGCCGGUGGUGGGGGCUCAUGGAUGAUCUGUGGAAAAAAAUAAAAAAGUUCACGAGAAGGAGGAAAAAAGACGAAAUCUAGGUCCUCGCCUUGUCCAGCUGGCUGUUAGAAAAGUGGCUCCAACAAGCAUCGUCGCCCAAGCCUGUCUGCUUAUCCUGGCAGGCUCAGAGCAUACCCCAGAACUGAGGAAAUCAACACACGCGGCUGCUCUUUUUCUUUUCUUUUUUUCGCAACACAAUGGAGGACAGAGGGGAGGGGAGGUCAGUGCUGCCAAACACAGCUCCACGCCAAUAUAAACUGGGCCAGAUAGCAGAAUUCAUCUCUUCCCCAACCUUGCACUCAGAAUAGCCUUAUACUGUUGAAGCAGAGGACAAAGUGAUGGGACCUGAUUCGUUGCAGUCUGCAGGUUUCCACUGUUCACGCCCCUCAAGGAUAAAGAUGCUGGCAAACAUCCAUAAGUCCACAUCAUGAUGUUUUAUUGGACUGUUUACUCCCCAGGCGCACAAAGAGGUCAUGUUUUACUGUGAGGUGCAGACAAAUGUCCAGAGUUCAGCUUGAACCGCUAAAUUAUUUGGAAUUAUUGGUGAGGAUGACGGCCGAUGUGCUGCCUUUGAGAUAGUUGUCAUUACACAGUGGAUUCUGGGAAAACAGCUGCCUUGGUUUGAUUGGCUGACGUCAGCAGACUUUUGGCAGUAUAAUAUUCGAAACAACAUUUCCAUUAUUUGGAAAAUACCCCUAUUAACUUUCAUACCAAGAGCAAGAUGUGAAGUUUGAUACCAAUAGUAUGUCUUUAUGGUAAAAUAUUGAGGUGAUGGUUAGCUUAGCUUUGCUAGCUUAGCAAAAAGACUGGAAACAAACAGAAACAACUGGCCUGGCUCUGUCCAAAAGUAACAAAAGUCUGCCUAGCAGGAGCUCAAAAGCAAAGUAAUAUGCCAAACAAAUGUCAAAUCCUGAUUUUAUGAUUAUUGACAUAUUGUUGACCAGAAACAAACCCCCAUUUUACACUUGUUUUAUACAGUUUAAACAAACAUCUUGAUGACAUGUUAGUAAGCUUUCAAGGUGCUUGUAUAGGUGGAUCCUGUUAACUUUAACCCGCCUUUUCCCCCUUUUUCCAGUCGAGCUCAUCACACAGACAAGAAAAUUGUACGGAUCCUCUCAUCUUUCAACUUUUGGCAAGAUAGUUGAAAAGCAUAUACAAACAUUCUUCAAGUCUUGUCUCCCAGUAUUCACACAGCUGUCCACUGCAACAUCUGUCCCAAAACAAUGAACAGCUCAGGACAGGACCUGCCAAAACCCAGCGCGCCUGACUGUAGCUGCUGCUACUUUUUCCUGGAGACAUAAACUCAAACACUGUUUCAUCUGCUUAACACAUGUACUUGCAUAUAGCUGUUUUCCUUUUAUACCAUUUUGCCAUAUUUUCAAAAUGUGCAGAAUAGAAGGCUGGAGCGGCGGAGUCAUGGAGGGCAAGAGAGAAUGUAUCAUCCGAGAAAUGGUUUUCCUUAUGUACCAUCAUACAUUUAUCUCCAGGCGAGCUAAAUAUGGCCUAACUAUUUUCAUUUAAAGCGUGCCCCCGAUGUGAAGCAAACAAAUGCCAGAAGACUGUGUGUAAACAAUCCAGAGAAAUGAAUGAAUGAGGAGGAGGAGCGUACGAGUAUAAUGGGAUUGACAUAAGGAGAUAAUUUGACUCAAAUUGCUUCCAUGACCGCAGUUUCAAGGGAGUUGGAUGUCGUAUCACGCAGAAAUGAUUAUGAUUCAGAGAAAACAUAAAACAUUUAAUUAAUACUAAGAAAAUGUUUCACACUUAUUCACAAGAAUUAGAUUUAAAAGGCAAACUGCUUGUGCUGAAUGUUAACAAAGUAACCAACAUGAAAGUGAAGAAAAUCUUCUCAGUGAUUUGUAAACAUUACAGAUGUGUUUUCAUGCAUGUAUACAUUCAGUAAAUGAAUGUGGUUUAAAAAACAUGAUGAAGAUAGAAAACAUGGCAUGGGGCAUCUUUAAUGGAGCAGACCAAUGGAUAGAAUCUCAUUUUAAAGAUUAAAAAAAGCAAAUGAUGGUUCAAAUUACUGAGACACUAGGACAACGGAAUGUGAACUUAAAAAAGAAUCUUGUCUGUUUAUCAUUUUUACUUCAGGGCAGCAAACAUUUUAUUUGUGCACCAGUGCUGGUGAAUAUCUUCCUUUGUAAUUAGCAGCCCUUCCUGCAGCUACUGUGGCUUGCAGAGGAAGUGGUUACAGUAAGUUGCUUGUAAAGCCUCUGGUGGAAACUGGUUGUAUCCUUAAGGGCUGUUUUUUGUCUUUCUGCCUUGUGUGUGGUACUGCUCCGAUUUAUCUCUUGAUUUUGGCUUUUUUCCAGGCUGUAAAAUUACACAAUGUGUUGUUUUAAAAAGGCCAUGAUACCAGUAAGAGCAGCGCAGCAGUUUAUUUAAUCACCGAGGAGUCCAGCUGUGCAGAUGACUUGGUGUUUGAUUUUUGGGAAACUCAGCUAUGUGUAAUUGAGAAGUCUUUACAAUGGCCUGCUCACUCGACUGUUUAUUCCAGCUGCUUUUCCUGUAAAUGAACUUAGUGAUAAACUUUGA
Molecule: long non-coding RNA, 4213 nt
Organism: Amphiprion ocellaris (clown anemonefish)
Lineage: Eukaryota; Metazoa; Chordata; Actinopteri; Pomacentridae
Exons: 4
Source: RefSeq, a predicted model, not a curated record